RNAcentral lists this unclassified non-coding RNA (972 nucleotides) under Hevea brasiliensis (rubber tree). Lineage: Eukaryota; Viridiplantae; Streptophyta; Magnoliopsida; Malpighiales; Euphorbiaceae. The record is from RNAcentral.
GGAAGCCAUCCUGAUACGAUCCCAGAAGAAAAGAAAAAGAAAAUGCCUCCUUCGGUAGACUAGGAUUUCCCAUUUUCUUAUUCUAUUGUCAAUUGUUCCCUCUCAUUGACAUCUGAACCAAGGCUCGAAGCAAUCCUUUCGAAGGCAACACACAAAACUAAGCACAGUAAUACUUCAGCCGUGAAAAAAUUCUCACUAGGCCAUGGGCAAUGACUCACCACGGCCUCCCUCCUCGAUUGGAAUUGAAGGCUUUGAAAAACGCCUUGAAAUCAUCUUCACUGAAUCACCAAUUUUCAAGAAUCCUACAGUGACAGGCCUACGCUCCUUGACUUGGUCCCAACUGGACUCAAUCCUCGAGCCCGCUUGUAGCAGCAUCGUAGCACAGCUCUCCAACACUGAGUUGGACUCCUACAUCCUCUUCGAGUCGACCUGUUCAUUUUGCCAUUGAAAAUAGUAAUCAAAACUUGCGAAAUUACAAAUCUGCUCUUAUCCAUUGAACAGAUUCUGAAACUCGCUGAAUCGCUGUCACUCAUUGCAUCUGACGUUAAAUACUCUAGAGGCAACUUCAUUUUCCCAAAUUACCAACCUGCCCCUGACCGGAGCUUCUCCAAAGAGGGUUCUGCUUUGAAAGAGUUCUUCGAGUGUUUAAACGCUGAGGCCUAUGUCCUCCUUGGUAAUCCAAAUCACAAAUGGCACAUUUAUUCUGCUUCAAGGAAAGAUCGGACGGAUAUGAUCACUGUUGAGAUGUGCAAGACUUCGUUGGACCAAAAGAAAGCGGCCGUGUUUUUUAAGAGAUUGGCGGAUUAUUCGGCUAAGGAUUUGAGCAGAAAUUCCGGCAUAUCUGAAAUUUUACGGAGUCACGUGAUAUGCGACUUUGUCUUUGACCCUUGUAGGCAUUCAAUGAAUGGGAUUCGUGGUUGAGGAUUCUCAACGGUGCACGUGACCCUGGAGGAUGGUUUCAGUUACGCUAGC